CCUACGGUGGACUGCAGUGAGGAAUAUUGGUCAAUGGCCGAGAGGCUGAACCAGCCAAGUCGCGUGAGGGAAGACGGCCCUACGGGUUGUAAACCUCUUUUGUCGGGGAGCAAAGCGAGUCACGUGUGACUCAUUGAGAGUACCCGAAGAAAAAGCAUCGGCUAACUCCGUGCCAGCAGCCGCGGUAAUACGGAGGAUGCGAGCGUUAUCCGGAUUUAUUGGGUUUAAAGGGUGCGCAGGCGGAGGUGCAAGUCAGCGGUCAAAUUGCGGGGCUCAACCCCGUACUGCCGUUGAAACUGGCGUUCUUGAGUGGGCGAGAAGUAUGCGGAAUGCGUGGUGUAGCGGUGAAAUGCAUAGAUAUCACGCAGAACUCCGAUUGCGAAGGCAGCAUACCGGCGCCCAACUGACGCUGAAGCACGAAAGCGUGGGUAUCGAACAGGAUUAGAUACCCGGGUAGUC
RNAcentral lists this ribosomal RNA (459 nucleotides) under uncultured bacterium. Its description in RNAcentral is "partial 16S ribosomal RNA". It matches the Rfam family "Bacterial small subunit ribosomal RNA", at positions 338 to 795 of the family's 1533-position model. The record is from RNAcentral.